RNAcentral lists this transfer RNA (77 nucleotides) under Escherichia coli. RNAcentral's name for it is "tRNA-Arg". It matches the Rfam family "tRNA". From Rfam's summary of the family: Transfer RNA (tRNA) molecules are approximately 80 nucleotides in length. Their secondary structure includes four short double-helical elements and three loops (D, anti-codon, and T loops). The record is from RNAcentral. Lineage: Bacteria; Pseudomonadati; Pseudomonadota; Gammaproteobacteria; Enterobacterales; Enterobacteriaceae. RNAcentral also lists the same sequence under 1 other name.
GCAUCCGUAGCUCAGCUGGAUAGAGUACUGGGCUACGAACCGAGCGGUCGGAGGUUCGAAUCCUCCCGGAUGCACCA